RNAcentral lists this ribosomal RNA (216 nucleotides) under Chlorarachnion reptans. RNAcentral describes it as "partial Bacterial large subunit ribosomal RNA". It matches the Rfam family "Bacterial large subunit ribosomal RNA", at positions 1529 to 1745 of the family's 2925-position model. Lineage: Eukaryota; Cercozoa; Chlorarachniophyceae. The record is from RNAcentral.
CUGGUAGGCAAAUCCGCCGGGCUUAGAUGAGGGGUGAUAACGAGGAGGCUUGCCUCCGAAGUGAGUGAUACCCUGCUUCCAGGAAAAGCCACUAAGCUUCAGCUAUUGACGACCGUACCGCAAACCGACACUGGUGCGCGAGAUGAGUAUUCUAAGGCGCUUGAGAGAACUCAGGAGAAGGAACUCGGCAAAUUGGUACCGUAACUUCGGGAGAAG